RNAcentral lists this microRNA precursor (56 nucleotides) under Podarcis lilfordi (Lilford's wall lizard). The record is from RNAcentral. Lineage: Eukaryota; Metazoa; Chordata; Lepidosauria; Squamata; Lacertidae.
UGAUUGUGUGUGUGUGUGUGCGCGUGCGCGCACACACACACACACACACACAAUCC